CGCCGCGGCCGACCCACGCUCCAGAGCUCGCCGUCGCGCCCUCCUCUCGCGCAACUCGCGAAAGUUGCAGAUCCACUUUCGGAAUGUGCGCCAUGAGCGAUACGCGACCGGAACUUUCGCGUUCUCAGCUUUUACCCGAAAGUUCGUGAUUUUCAUUCUGUGCGGGAAGGAUGACCAAUGGAUGAAUUAUUGAAGUCUGUGUGUUGAUUUCCGGUCGGGUUUUAUUAAAGUUGUGUGCUCGAUUUUUGAAUUUUUUGGUUUUUGAAAAGUUUGAACUUUCGCUCGUUCGCUUCGGGGAUCCGUUGAUCCUGCGAUUUGAAUCUAGGUCGGGGAAAAAAUCGAAUUUUUGCCCGUCUUUUUGUGUUAGUUCUUGAUCGGGAAGAGGUUGUGUGAACUGAAAGCUCGGUUAUGAUUUUUGAAAAAUAAAAAUUUCGACUAUCGUAGUUUUUUUUUGGAUAAUUUUGUAUUGUGAAAAAUAUUCUUGGCGGAUGCACCCAUUUCUGGCGUAUAUUUCUCGGCCUUAAUCUGUGUGAAAUUCAGUCUAAUUCCUCCGAAGUGUGUAAUAUUAUUUCCGGAUCAAAGAAAGACUUAUUUUUUUUUUAAUUCUUCUUUGAAGUGUCACCAACCAAUUUUGAACGUGGUCAACCUUGCACUAUCUGCGCUUUUUGUACCGCAGUUUUAAAAUUUCCUUCGGAUAAUUUUUUUCUAAUUCUCCCAAGUGGUGUUGCUCUCUAUACGUUUGGAAGAAUUUCCACUCAAAAUAACGAGAACCUCUGGUCAUUUGAGCAAUACGGGAACUUGAUUCAUCGAAAAAAAUUUAAUUUUACGCACAAAAGUAUUUACCUCACUCUACAUUUCAAUAUCGUUAAUCGUGUUAGUAGAUAUUUUCAAAAUAUACAUAUAUUGCCAAAAGUCAUCAGCGCCAAGAAAGAAAACUACCCAGAGAAUUUGACUCGAUAAUUUUCUGAAUCUCUGUGCACAAAAUUUGCUCAAAUAUCGUCAUCCCUGUGCAUUCCUUUGGAUUUAAAUUUCAAUUAACAAUCAGAAGUUUAGUGCCAAUUUUCAGUCUCCACACAACUUCUAAGGCAAAAAAUUUUCAGCCCCUCACACAUUCAGCUCGUAGUUUUUUAAUUUCAACCAUAUCGUUUUUUGGCUAAAUUUGUUUCAUCGUUGACAACCUCUCUAAGCAGUAAACAUUAUUCGAAGUAAUCACUUUUUAACCGGUAAAUUUUCAAAUGUUAUUUUCUUUUUUCAUUUACUACCUCUAAAUUUGUAAACUUUAAAGAAACGGAGACAGCUCGCGUCGUUCGAUCAGUGUAAACCUCGCCGAUUUUAAAGUUUCUAUUUUGAGCCUUCGGAUUUCCUGAGGAGUCAAAAUUCUUUUCUACCAAAGUGCAAAAUACAUAUCCCUGCUUUUGGGUUGUGGGAACUGGGCUGUGUGAAUCGGUGGCAUGUUCUGUGUUUCUUCCCUGGUGACCAGCUUCAAUACCUAGUGCGCGGCACGAAUAUCAACGGAAAUAACAAGAUCCAUAACUGUGAUAAGGCCACCCAACUAUUAGCUGUGAACUUCGUUGCGGACGGGGUUCUUUCAAGAAGCGGGUUUUUCGGUUCUCAUUUCGUUGUCCGUGACUUGCGUUCGUGAUUGUGCUGCUUGAUUGAGCGCCGGACUAACUUCGCGCAGAAAACAGGACUGACAUGGGUGAAGCUAGCCGGAAGCAAUUGAUCGUUUCUCGAUUCAUGGAUUCAGACAGCCAAGACACGUGCGAACUGGUUGGGAGCGGGGCUGCGUAAAUGAUCCAGUUCCCUGUGGAGCCGUCCGUUCCUUGACGUUUUAACUCCUGGUUUCAUGGGGGAGAGUUCGAACCCGGUUCUGGCGUGAUGAGCCCCGACACGUGGACCAUGUCCUGUUUUUCGCUCGGGCCUCGGUAGAGAUGUUGUGAGGAAGGACCAAGCGGAGCCCCGGCAUGCUCUCUCACGUGUUCCCCGCCCUCGAAGCAACCUUUUGGGUUCUCUUUAGUGUGUUUGCUCCUGCUCUUCGAGGUAUAUCUCAAACACGUGACUGAUAAAUGGAAAA
This is a non-coding RNA of Bemisia tabaci, 2074 nucleotides long. The record is from RefSeq and is a predicted model, not a curated record. NCBI's taxonomy places the organism in Eukaryota, Metazoa, Arthropoda, Insecta, Hemiptera, Aleyrodidae.